Poecile atricapillus (Black-capped chickadee) is the source of this 334-nucleotide long non-coding RNA. RefSeq lists it as uncharacterized. The record is from RefSeq and is a predicted model, not a curated record. NCBI's taxonomy places the organism in Eukaryota, Metazoa, Chordata, Aves, Passeriformes, Paridae. The transcript has 3 exons.
AGAACCCUUUAUUACAAGCUAUUUGUCAUGAAGCAGUUCUGCACUGGUCUGACCCCUGCAAAAGAAACUCAGGAAACCAAGAGAUGAGGUCUACAUAGAGGUCUGACACCUCCUUUAUCAUUCUCUCCUUGAAAAUGACCAAUUGAGAAAUUAUUAACGCAUCUGGAGGAAGCAAGUGAAGGAGUCAUGAUCAAGUUUCCUGCUAUUUCAUUCCAGAAGAAUUUCUUCCAUCAGCAUUUUGAGAAUGGGUUGGAGAAAAAGCAUCAGCUUCCAACACAUAAAUGUUGGACGAAACUGUCCUGAGCUACUGUUAGUCUUUGCAUUUUCUGUAGUA